UAGGAAAAGAAUUUUAUUACU
This 21-nucleotide non-coding RNA is filed under the name Caenorhabditis elegans. The record is from RNAcentral. Lineage: Eukaryota; Metazoa; Nematoda; Chromadorea; Rhabditida; Rhabditidae.